Molecule: non-coding RNA, 89 nt
Organism: Perca fluviatilis (European perch)
Lineage: Eukaryota; Metazoa; Chordata; Actinopteri; Perciformes; Percidae
Source: the annotation of a RefSeq genome assembly
GGUUUCAUAGUGUAGUGGUCAUCACGUAGUAGUGGUCAUCACGUCUGCUUUACACGCAGACGUCCUGGGUUCAAUCCCCAGUGAAACCA